GAGUUUGAUCAUGGCUCAGGACGAACGCUGGCGGCGUGCUUUACACAUGCAAGUCGCACGCUCCGCCCCAAUUUGACCUUCGGGUCAUAUUGGGAUUACGGAGAGUGGCGGACGGGUGAGUAAUGCGUGGAGAAUCUGUCCUUAAGUCUUGGAUAACCUGGUGAAAGCUGGGCUAAUCCGGGAUGCUCUUAAUCGAAGACAUCUUCUUUUAAGGAAAGAUGUGGUUUCACAUCGCUUUUGGAGGACUCCGCGUCGGAUUAGCUAGCUGGUAGGGUAACAGCUUACCAGGGCUACAAUCCGUAGCUGGUCUGAGAGGACGAUCAGCCACACUGGGACUGAGACACGGCCCAGACUCCUACGGGAGGCUGCAGUGGGGAGUCUUCCACAAUGGGCGCAAGCCUGAUGGAGCAACGCCGCGUGAGUGAAGAAGGCCUUCGGGUCGUAAAGCUCUGUCCUCGGGGACGAAACACAGUGAUAAUAAAUGAUCACUGUCUGACGGUACCCAAGGAGGAAGCACUGGCUAACUACGUGCCAGCAGCCGCGGUCA
RNAcentral lists this ribosomal RNA (547 nucleotides) under uncultured Bacillota bacterium. RNAcentral's name for it is "bacterial SSU rRNA". It matches the Rfam family "Bacterial small subunit ribosomal RNA", at positions 9 to 523 of the family's 1533-position model. Lineage: Bacteria; Bacillati; Bacillota. The record is from RNAcentral.